AUAAAUUUACUAAAAAAAAAAAAAGUGGCCUUGGAGAUAGUUCAUGGAAGUGUUUACAUCAGUAGUAGACGACCUCUUAGCUUCCCAUGAAAGGAGCCCGUGCUGAUCCUCACUGUAUCUUGGCACUGCCACCAUCACCUUCUGGUUUAGGACUAGGGGAGCAAGUUUGGAGACGCAGAGCCCCUGUUUGCCUCUCUCUCGAUGAGGAGGCCCUGGGUCUCCAGGACACCUGACUCGGUCUAACAUUUGGAUGACCUUCUCAUCCCUUCCACCAUUUGCUUCUCAGGGGUUUUGAAAUUCAGUCCUCAGAUGAAAUCUCAAGGGGACAUGUGACAGGGUGGAAAGAGUAAGAAGUUGAGUCAGAGGGACUCUGGCUAUAGCAUUUGUUCAGCCCAUGACAAACCAAGGAGCUCAGAGAGAGGAAGAAGAGGGAGGUUAGGAUAUUUAUUCCUCCAGCCCCCUUCUAAGAACUCAGCUGCAUCCCUCAAUGGAAGGACUCAGCUCCUAAAAGGCCAUCAACUAUUAUGUGCUGAAAAACAAAACAAAACUCCUGGAUAACUAGGCCCUGACAGACACCUGUGACCCAAACUGCCCAUAAUGAACUCAGCGCGUUGCCUGAGACGAGGGGAUGCAUUUUAUGGCAGUAAGUUGAGCACUGCCCUCAGCACCUGUGGACUUCGCUGACCUCACCACGUGCUCCAUUACACAGGAGUAGCUUGCUUGACAGAACAGUGAAGUGGCUUGCUGAUGGCUCAGUCUAGACACCAGCUGGGAGACACCACCCUGUGAGGUUGGGCUGCCAAUUUAUAAAUCCAGAGAUUCUAAUGUAGCAAGUCCGGGGCUGGACCCAAGGAGUCUGGAUGUAAGCAGCAUCCCAGGAGAUCCUGAUGCAGUUGGUCCCUGGAGAAAUACGGCCCUAAACAGGAUGCUCCGGAGGGCGUCGUGCUGGUCUCUGGCACACAGUGGCGGGUCCUGGAUUCCUGCAGCCAGAAAUCACCGGGGACUGUGAACCCACUUGCCUGCUGUGGACACCUCCUACAAACCUGAUUCGGAACUUGGAACCCUGGGCUGAUGACCGCGGAGGGCCCCUAUUCCACUGUCUUAGUUUACACCGGGGGAACUGAGGCUCAGAGUCGCACAGGGAGCUGUUCCGAAUUACAAAUCAGCUGCACUGCAUGGCGUGUGGAACUUCCCCAACCAGGGCCACCAGGGAUUGAACCUGUGCCCCCUGCAGUGGAAGCGCAGAGUUUUAACCACUGGACAACCAGGGAAGUCCUGUCCAUGUAAUUCUUGAUGGUUGUGUUUCACUGAAGCCAGUGACAAAGCUCAAGGAGCUGCCUGCCUUUGUGCCAAGGAAAAGUUCAGCCCACGCACGAUCUGGUCCGCGUGAGGGAGCCCUCACUCCAGCCCCACCCCUAACCACCAGAAGACUCCAGUCGCCUCUCCCUGCUUUCUUCAGCUGUUUUUGGACCUUCUUUGGAGCCUGCCCUGCUCUUCCCAGGAAGCCUGAUUAUGUCACGCCACAGGAUGCGGGAUCUUAGUUCCCUGACCAAGGAUUGAACCCGUGCCACCCGCAGUGGAAGUGUGGAGUCCUAACCACUGGACCGCCAGGGAAGUCCCAAAAGUAUUUUUAUAUGUUGAUCUUUAAAUGUUAAUUUCAUUAGUAAUCCUUUUUAAUUGAAGUAUAGUUGAUUAACAAUGUUGUGUUAAUUUCCACUCUACAGCAAAAUGACUCGGUUAUACAUAUAUGUACAUUCUUUUUUAUAUUCUUUUCCAUUAUGGCUUAUCCUAGGACAUUGACUAUAAUUCCCUGUGCUAUACAGUAGGACCUUGUUGUCCAUCCAUUCUCUAUGUAAUGUAGCUACAAUGCCAGAUGUCCAGUUCAGUAUGGGGCCCAGGGAGAGUUAGGCCACGGCACUGGCCCUCAUUUCCACAGCUAGAAGGAGGCAACCCUGGGGCUGGGACUCAGUCUCCCUGGGCCCACACCACCUUGCAGCCAGGGCCGCCUGACUGCCACCCCCAGCCCAUCGCAUUUGCUUGGGUCCCCAUCAGCCAGAGUGGGAAGAGCAUCAUCUCAGCAGAUAAUCCUGCCUGCACUUCCCCAGUCAUGACUCAUCUCAGGACACACCCCUCACUCAGCACAUCCCAGCCCUGCAUUCUUUUCCCUUCUCUGAAUGUGCUAAAUCCCUCCCACCUCAGGGCCUUUCCCCAUGCGGGUCCCCUGCUGGAAAGUUCUUCAGCCUUACAGGCUGAAUCUCUCUCCACAGAAAACUGAAAGCUCUAUACAUGUUUCUGAGGAUCAUCUGUCUGUUUUCUCCACAUUUAGUAGUAACUGGUACAGAAUAAGUACCUAGAAAUGGCCCAGGCUUUAGGUGUUCUUUCCCGUCAGCCUGAGUAGAAACUUGUGCAGGGACUCGUGAGCUGGGAAAGCUUCCAACGCUGCCAUGCAAUUUUGGAUUUCUCCAGAAAUCCAUGUUAUCUUUGUACCACCACAGAAUGAAAAGCCAAGGGGACACGUUCCUAAGCAACUAUGAAAGUUCUAAAUAGCUGUUUACAAACAAAAGAGACAAGUAGAAUUUCUGUAACAUACUGAAUUUCUGAACAGCACUCAUUUAUUUCUUUCAUACAGUGUCAUUGAAAGACCUCCCUGGAGGAAGAUCCUAUUCACGAAAGCAACCAAAGGUAUAAACUACCGAGGAAUAAACUUAAAAAUAAAUGCUUAAAAAUGAUAUGAAGAAAACUGUAAAACUUUGUCAAGAGACAUGGGAUUUUAAUAAACACGGAAUGAGAAUCAGCAAAAUUAAGAUAUCAAAUUAACCUGUGUGUUUUGCACUAUCCAAGUCAAAAUCCUAACGUUAACUUUUCUAAGAUUUUUACCAAAUGAUACUAAAGUACAUCUCUAUGAAGAAUAAUAUGCAAAGAUAGCCCAAAAAUUCUGAAAAAGAAAAAUAAUGAAAAGGGGGACAUGGCCCCCUCCAAACAUUAAAGACAUGCACAAGAAUGUUCGUAGUAGCAUUAUUGAUGAUAGCCAAAAAUCAUAUAAAAUCCAAAUGCCUAUCAACAGUAGAAUGGAUAAAUUACUGCAUGUUCGUAAUCUGAUCUACUAUACAAUAAAGGACGAACUCCUGCUACACCCAAAAAUGUGGGUGAAUCCAAUAGGUAAAAAUAUGAGUGAAAAGCCAGUCAUCAAAGAGUACUUACUGUAUGAUCUACUUAUAUAUAAGAUUUAAAGGAAGGUAAAACAAAUCGAGUGUGAUAGAAAUCGGAAGAGAGGUCACCUUUCAGGAAAGCAAUGACUGGUAGAAGGCACAAGAGAUGCUUCUGGUAUGAUGUUGCCCGUGAGUAUUCACUUUCUAAAAAUUCAAUAUUAGAAUUAAAAUAAAAUACAUCAAUGAAAAUGAGCUCCCACUAUACCCAUCAACAUAAGUUCACAAAGAUAACAUUGAGUGAGAGAAAUCAGACACAAAUGAGUACACACUGGAUGAUAAUGUUUAUAUGUUAAGAGAUAGGCAGAAUCAAUCUGUGAUGUUAAACGUCAGAAGAGUUGUUAUGUCUGGACAGGUGAGAGCAGGAAAGGUUGGGGGGAGGCCUGAGAGGGGUGGAGGGGGAUCAUAGUUUUCUAUUUCUCAAUCUGGGUGGUAUUUACACAGGUGUGCUCCCUUUGUGAUACUUGAUCAAACUGUCCACUUAUAACUUAUGCACUUUCUCUAUACAUGACAUACUUGAAUCUAAAAGGUUGUUUUUGGAGCUCUUUCCUUUUGCCUCCUUGCAUUCGAGAAAGCAGGAUGGGUAGCCAGCAGCUCUUCUGGAGCCAUUCGAGAAAAUUCAGCCAGGGUUCUUGCUCUGGUUCUUGCUCUACCUCUGCUCAAACCAGCACAGCAGGAUCCGUCAGUACACAAAGGAUAUUGGCUUCAUUAAACUGGACCAAGUAAACUUCCUUGAAUGGGUCAUCCAGGACAUCCUUACAGCAGAAACAAUGCUAGCUGUUUGUACAUAAAAUUAAAAAAAAAAAUUUCAGGGACUUCCCUGGUGGCACAGUGGUUAAGACUACACACUCCCAAUGCAGGGGGCCCAGGUUCAAUCCCUGGUCAGGGAACUAGAUCCCACAUGCAUGCUGCAACUAAGAGUUCACAUGUCAUAACUAAGGAGCCUGUCUGCUGCAACUAAGACCCGGCACAACAAAAUAAACAAACAAAUAAAUAAAUAAAUAUAUAUUUAAAAGCCUUUCAAAAACAAAAUAAAAUAAAACAAAAGUUUGUUUUUUAAGAAAGUUACGUGCAUUCCCUUUGACUUGGCAAUUUCACAUUUAGGAUUUUUUCCCCUAAAGAAACAAAAGCACCCAAAGAUGUACAAAGAUAUGUAUUGAACACUGUUUAUAAUAAAUAAAAAUUAGAAACAACGUAGAUGUCUAACGAUAGAGGAACCAGGUGAAUAAUUUAGGACACGUGUACACUGAGAUACUACCCAGCCAACUGUAGAUGGUAUAGAUCUACAUUUUUAUUUAUUUAUUACAUUUAUUUAUUUAAUUUAUUUAUUUUUGGCUGCAUUGGGUCUUCAUUGCUGAGUGCGGGCUUUUCUCUAGUUGCAGCGAGCAGGGACUACUAUUCAUUGAGGUGUGUGGGCUUCUCAUUGCAGUGGCUUCUCUUGUUGCGGAGCACGGGCUCUAGGCACGCGGGCUUCAGUAGUUGUGGCUCGCGGGCUCUAGAGCGCAGGUUCAGCAGUUGUGGCGCAUGGGCUUAGUUGCUCUGCGGCAUGUGGGAUCUUCCCAGACCAGGGCUCGAACCUGUAUCCCUUGCACUGGCAGGCAGAUUCUUAACCACGGUGCCACCAGGGAAGCCCCUAUAUCUACAUUUAUUGACCUAGAAAUAAAACCUCAUUCUAAAGGCUCAGAUGAAAAAAGCAGGUAAACAUAUUAACGUUUUCAAAUAUAACCCCAAAAUGUUUUCUGCAGUAACUUGGAUGGGAGAUGAUGAAUGAUAAUUUUUCCAUUUGCUUCUGUAUAUUUUCUGACUUUUCCAUAAAACCCGUAUCUUUGAAAAGACAUUUCGUCAUUUUAUUCAUGUUAAGGCAGCCCAGCUGUCUUAGGUAAACAGGUGAAUUUCCUCCCCGAGGAGCCAGAAUCUAUGGACAGAUCUGGAAUGGUGUUCUGGCCCCAACCCCGUAUUAGAUGUGCUACUUUGGAGGUGUUACCUCAAUUUAAGAGCUUCCUUUUCCAGACCAAUAAAAAUGAAGAUAAUUAUGUUAAGAGGAUUUUAAAUGAUUCAACAUAUGUAAAGUAUUUAUCCUUGACUGAGACACAAAAGACACCAGUGAAUGUCACUGCCCUGCUUUUGGUAGGUACCAGGAACUGGAUUUCAGAAUUUGGAUUUCAGAUACAACAAAUCCUUUCAAAAGAUGCUUACUUUUCCAGGGGAUUAGAAAAUAGUCUACAGUCUCUCUUGUUCUGAUAAAGUAUUUUUUUCCCUUGUGUUGAUUGCUUUUGAUCAAAAUUGUUGACACUUCUUGGGCCUUUUUCCUUCAGCUGGGCAAGAGAAAUGGGAUUGCCCUGUGAGGACAGAAUAU
Molecule: long non-coding RNA, 5562 nt
Organism: Orcinus orca (killer whale)
Lineage: Eukaryota; Metazoa; Chordata; Mammalia; Artiodactyla; Delphinidae
Exons: 9
Source: RefSeq, a predicted model, not a curated record